GUUCAAACGAGGAAGGCUUACGGUGAUACUAGCACCAGAGACGAGGAAGUAGUAGCGACGAAAUGCUUCGGGGAGUUGAAAUAAGCAUAGAUCCGUGAUUCCGAUAGGUUAACUUUCACUGCUGUCUGGAACUGUGGGAGGCAGAGAUAAACCUUGGCGAACUGAAACAUCUUAUAGCCAUAGGGUAAAGUAGCAAAAGCGUUCCGUAGUAGCGGCGAGUCGAAAUGGAGCAGCCUAACCGGUGAAAACGGGUUGUGGAGAGGCAAUACAAGCGUCGUGCUGCUAGGCGAAGCAGUUAGAAUGCUGCACCCUAGAUGGCGAAAGUCAGUAGCCGAAAGCAUCACUAGCUUACGCUUGACCCGAGUAGCAUGGGGCACGUGGAAUCCCGUGUGAAUCAGCAAGGACAACCUUGCAAGGCUAAUAUCUGGGUGACGAUAGGAGUUAGUCUCGUGAGGGAAGGGUGAAAGACCAUCGGGGAGUGAAAUAGAACAUGAAACGUAGCUCCAAGCAGUGGGGAGCGGGGGCUCUGCAUACUCGUUGAAGAAGAUCCU
Molecule: long non-coding RNA, 551 nt
Filed under: Helianthus annuus (common sunflower)
Lineage: Eukaryota; Viridiplantae; Streptophyta; Magnoliopsida; Asterales; Asteraceae
Rfam family: Bacterial large subunit ribosomal RNA
Source: RNAcentral